RNAcentral lists this ribosomal RNA (119 nucleotides) under Gossypium raimondii (Peruvian cotton). Lineage: Eukaryota; Viridiplantae; Streptophyta; Magnoliopsida; Malvales; Malvaceae. The record is from RNAcentral.
GGGUGCAAUCAUACCAGCACUAAUGCACCGGAUCCUAUUGAAACUUCGUAGUUAGGCAUGCUUGGGAGAGAGUAGAACUAGGAUGGGUGACCUCUUGGCAAGUCCUCGUGUUGCACCCC